RNAcentral lists this ribosomal RNA (497 nucleotides) under uncultured bacterium. RNAcentral's name for it is "partial 16S ribosomal RNA". It matches the Rfam family "Bacterial small subunit ribosomal RNA", at positions 28 to 507 of the family's 1533-position model. The record is from RNAcentral.
GACGAACGCUGGCGGCGUGCCUAAUACAUGCAAGUUGAGCGCUGAAGGUUGGUACUUGUACCCACUGGAUGAGCAGCGAACGGGUGAGUAACGCGUGGGGAAUCUGCCUUUGAGCGGGGGACAACAUUUGGAAACGAAUGCUAAUACCGCAUAAAAACUUUAAACACAAGUUUUAAGUUUGAAAGAUGCAAUUGCAUCACUCAAAGAUGAUCCCGCGUUGUAUUAGCUAGUUGGUGAGGUAAAGGCUCACCAAGGCGAUGAUACAUAGCCGACCUGAGAGGGUGAUCGGCCACAUUGGGACUGAGACACGGCCCAAACUCCUACGGGAGGCAGCAGUAGGGAAUCUUCGGCAAUGGACGAAAGUCUGACCGAGCAACGCCGCGUGAGUGAAGAAGGUUUUCGGAUCGUAAAACUCUGUUGGUAGAGAAGAACGUUGGUGAGAGUGGAAAGCUCAUCAAGUGACGGUAACUACCCAGAAGGGGACGGCUAACUACGUG